RNA transcript from Panicum hallii, 5005 nucleotides. RefSeq lists it as uncharacterized. Lineage: Eukaryota; Viridiplantae; Streptophyta; Magnoliopsida; Poales; Poaceae. The transcript has 7 exons. The record is from RefSeq and is a predicted model, not a curated record.
UUCCUCUUCCUCCUCUCGCUUCCACUUCCUACUCGCCGCCGCUGUCCACGCCACUCCUGUUGACUCCGCCGGUGGCUCGGUGCGGCUGCCCGGCGGGCAGCUUGACGCUGCGGCUCCUCCUCCUCCGCGAGUUGCGGCGCAGCGGCGCGGGGCGGCCCGACGUGGCCUCGCCGCUCGCGCCAGGCGGCCUGGCGGCGCGUUGUGCCCCAACGGGAGGCGCGGCGGCCCGGCGGCCCGGCGGGAGCUCGACGAUGCGGCUCCUCCUCCUCUGUUCUCCUGCUGCGCGGCGGCCUGGCGGGUAGCGCAGCCGCGGGACGGUGCGUGGGCGCACGCCGUGCAUCGGAGCUGCGGUCGGCGGCCGCCGGCCGCCGUGCGCAGGUGCCGCACCCGCACCAGGCGGCCCCGUUUCGCGCGCCGCCCCAUAGUCCCGUUUGCGGCUGCGGGCGGCGGACUGCGCGCAGGAGGCCGCCGACCGAUGGCCAGCGACCCGCGGUCGUCGGCUGCGAUUACGGCUGCCGAGGCGCCUGUGACCCGGACGCGCGAGGAGAGGGCCCGCAGCACGCGGCUGCGGCUGCGGCUGCGAGUGCGGCUCCUGCAAUCCGAAGGAUAUUUCUCCAAGAAAUGUCUUAACGGAAUAGCCUUAUAUACGAAAAUGAAAAGUGAAAAUGAUGUUAUGAGUUAACAGAAUAGCCUUACAUACGAAGAUCUCAAAAAAAUAUUUCGGUUAUAGUAAAAGCUGGAGUAUUUAUACCUUCAUUAUUCUGGUUAUAGUAAAAGCUGGAGUAUUUAUACCUCCUACCUUUGGUACAUAGUUCUGACAUUACAUUACGUAGUUUCCGUUUCUAAGUCAUUUCUGACGUUAAUGUGUAUAAAUUGUUUUCUAAGUCAUUUCUGACGUUAAUGUGUAUAAAUUGUUCACUGCAGGGUGAUCACGUUACACAUAUGACACCGAAGGUUGUGCGGAACCUUGGACCCUUCGUCUAGGAUCUUUGCGCUGUCGAAGGUUGCGCAACUGAUUUCUUUGUCAUCCAAAAGUCAGCUUUUACCCUCGAAGCUAGCCAAAGCUUCGCGGUUGGUCCGCCUUUGCUCGAAGGUCGCGAUGCAACCUUCGCGCGUUCAGCCAGGCGCGAACCUUCGACCAUCAUUGAAGGGGCCAAUCCUGCGAGAUAAAUUAGCAAAAAACCAUGCAAUGACUUUUCGAUUGCCGGAAGGUUCCUUGAGACCUUCGGUGGAUCCUUCGGCGAGAUCUUCUUGGGGUGGUGAUCCCCAACAGUAGCCCCUCGCGGGCGAGGUCCGACUUCAAUGGUCCGAACCCUCGAACAAGGAUUGCCAGCCAUCCUCGAAGAAAAACGUCUCCCUGAUCGUCACAGGAUGGCUCAUAUCAAGGAGACUGCGAAGCCCAUCGAAGUUGAAGAGGCCAGCACGGAAGUUGAAAAUAUUGCUCAGCACUCGAGGGGAGAAGAGGAUUUAUCUCAAGUGAACGCGGAUCCUUCUGAGCUGAUGGGUCGAGAAAAACCAAAGCAGACCCUUCGAUUUGGCACAUCGCUAGUAUCUCAGAACCUUAUCAAGUUCUAUAUUGACAAAGGUUAUUUCAAGGUGGGGGAAUACCGUCCUUCGGAGGGUGAAGACAUCCCGGUUCCGCGCGAAGGUGAAACCAUGGUGUUUUGAGAUUUUUUCACAGCUGGCCUCCGAUUUCCACUUGACCUUGUGCUGCCGGAUAUUUUGUCGAGAUUCAAUGUCAUGAUGCAUCAUUUGAUGCCAAACGCCAUAAUCCAGUUGUCCAAAUUUUUCUAGGCUGUGAAGACUUUCGGUGCUCUGGUAUCACCGGACACCUUUUGCAGAUUCUAUGAGCUUCAUCCUCAAGGAUGGAAAAUUUCAUUCGAGGGAGAAGAUGAAGUUUUCUAUGCACAAAGUGGUUGUUGCACCUUCGUUCCACAAAGGAACAAUAAGGUUUUGAAGUUGGAUCAUGUUGAGAUUUCUUUCAGUCAGAAAAACAAGUGGGACGAUGACUGGACCGGAUACUGGUUGUAUGCCAAAAUUGGCUUCGUGAAUUCUUCUCAAGAGGAGAUCUUUUCGCUCGCAUUGAAGGUUCUUCCUUUUCAGCAUAUCAAUCAGGCUGAUUUGGACAGAUCAUCUAAGGAUUUAAAGGACUGCUGCACUGCGUUCAGAGAGGUGGCAAAGGCAAUCGGUAGUCGUGACCUUGUGGAGGAGUACCUGGCAGCUAAGAUUUGGCUGUUGACCCCCCAGCUGGGCAGCCAAAUCUUUUUCGAAGGUUAUGGUGGGCAACAUAUCUAGUUCUAUUCCUUGUCCAGUGUUUGGACUUAAGAGGCCAUCUGAUUCGAGUGAUGAGAUGAUCGUGUCGAACGUUGAGCUUGAGGCUAAUGCCCUUCUUGGUGCGUAUAACUGGAAAGAGCAUAAGGGUUUUUUGGAAUGUUGUUCCCAUGGUAGCCAUAUUAACUGGAGCUUCCAUGAAAUGGUAAUAAAGUAUGAGUCUCGAGAAGCAUCUUCGGAGCCGCAGAAGAGGGGGAGGGCGUCCGGUAACAUCGGCUCCACAGAGCCUGUUGCUAAGAAAGGGAGAAAGGAUGUGACAUCUGUGCCUAGAGGCUCGUCCUUCUUGGCUGCUUUGGCUAGACCUCCGAGGAAUCCUUCGGUCAAGUUGUCAACCAAGCAAGCGGAGAUUCAGAAGAAGAAAGAUGCUGAAGCAAAUCUGCACAAGGCAUUAGAUGCACCGCUUCGUAUGGUAAGUCUGGUGGACGACAACAGUGACGAGGAUGUUGCGGAGGUCCCCCCGAAGGUUGACACUGAUUUGACUAAAACCUCGAAGGAGGCGCGCCCGGGAGUUGCGUUAGAAACGGUGAUGGAAUGUGUGCCCAAGGAAGAUGAGGAUCGCGGUGCUAUGGUUGAGGACAUGCAACUUUCGGGGAAACACAUUACUCAGGACUUUAUGGAGCUAGCUUGGAGGGUUGAUUAGCGGAGGUCUUUCCAAGGGCAUAUCGUGUGCUCCAGCCGAGAUGUCCACUCGAGCUGGAGGCCUUCCUGAGGAGCUUGAAUCCUUCGACGUCGAAGGUUGGAGCCCACAUUUUUUUUCUUAGAAAACUUGGGUUUUUUGCAGAUUUCAAGAAGAGCUUAGAGCUUAGGCGUAUAUGGGAUGGAGUAUCUUGGGCGCAUCACCGCUUCUUUGUGCUUAAAGGCUUUGAUAGCGAGACGUACAGCGACUCAGAGCGCUAAAAAAGAUAACAAGGCUCGAUCAGAGAGGUCGGCCAAGAGCCUUCGCUUGGUUAUGGAGAAUCAGAGGCUGAAAGAUCAAAAUAAGAUUCUGGAGGACCUUUGGGUUUUGCAUAAUGAUCAGAUUGCCGGUCUGACACAGAAGAAGGCUGAUGAUUAAGAAAAGCUUAUUCAAAAGAUGCAAAAAAACUAUUGAUCAGAAUGAUGAAACUUUGGAAAACCUUCGUGCUGUUGUGGAGGAAGAUGACGUUACGAUCAAUGAUCUAGAGGCUGAAAAUAAGCAACUUAAGGCCGAAGGUGCCAAGAAAGGUAACUUGAUUGAGAUGUUGGUGAAGGAGGCAGAGGGUAACCAAAAUCUGAUGAAUGAGGCUAUCUGAGAGAUUGUCGAGAAGAGCGAUCAGAUUUAUCUUGAGCAUAGAAAAGCUCUAGCAACCUUCGAGGCCGAAACUGCGCCUCUUCCUCAGGAUCCUGAGGGUGGUGUGACUGGCUUGUUAAAUUAGAUAUUGAAUGAAUUCACCUCACUGGUGGAUAUACUGACCAUGACUUUGGACAAUUCUGUCGUUAUCUCGAGUGAGAGUGUUCUAGUAAUUCUGGACCGCGAAAGUUGCCGGGAUUUACAAAAAAUAAGUGCUGGGGAUUAUGUUUUCCCGUCUUACUCUGACCUUAGUCAGAAUAUUUCUAACAUUCAAGCUGUGAAGAAAGCUUUCAUCCGAAGGUAUUGGAAGGUUGCUGGCCGAGAGGUUGUGCGUAAUGUUGCUCAGAGUCGGUUGGAAGCGAUAAAGAGAGCUCAGAGAGCUUAGGAAGAUAGAAAGUUGACGGCGACGGCUUGGGAUGUUGCUGAAAGUUCUGGAGCCAACAAGACUGUUGGUGGUGAUGAUGAGAACGUGAAGGUGUAGAACGGAGCUUUGAUUGAAGAACUUUUGUGGCUUGUAGUUUUGAUGAAUCUCUAAUGUAAAUAUUCCUAACUUUUGGUCAGGCGCUCGUUGUUGCGAGGCCCGUACUUGACGUACCUACGAUGAACAUUGGUUGUGAUGGGGUCAUCGUGGCCGGAUCUGCUUGGGAGAGAGAUAUAGUUUUGCUCAUCCUGAAGUGAUUUUUUGUAUGCGUGUGUGGCUAAAUCGCCUUGUGAAGACUGAUGGUCCGGGGACUCUUUUAGGUGGCGGAUGAUAUGUGUAUAUUUGUAAUUGCUUUUUAGUGUCUGAUCUGCGCGCGAGUGAAAGAUGGGGGCACACACGUGAACAUGAAGUAGAAGAGGGCCAGAAAAAUUAGGAGGAAAAUGACAACCGUGCGCCAUGGCCCGGCGGGAGGCGCGGCGGCUUGGCGCGGCUGCCCGGCGGGCAGCUCGACGCUGCGGCUCCUCCAACUCCGUUCUCCUGCUCCGCGGCUGUCCGGCGGGUAGUGCAGCUGCCAGACGGCGCGUGGGCGCGGGCCGCCUUGAGGCCCCCAGGACGACGCCGCGCAGUACCUCGCCGCGGUCGACGUCGCCGUCGAGCACCUCGCGCGCGGGCGUUGCCGUGCAGCUCGCCGUGGCACGGCCCGAGGAGGAGCUCCGCCAUCUCAUGGCUGUUGUGCAGGCUCUAAUUGGCUGAAGAGAAUUUUAGAUGCGAAAGAGAAGCCCCAGCUCAGACUUACACAGCAAAGGUAAUAUAGUUGGUUUUACAUUAGAAAACAUCAGUGCUAUCUAUAGCAAGAGGUUUAGCUUGGCCAAAUUAUGAAAGGGACGAGGUGAGUUCAUGCUACCUGAAGCUGAAUGUCAAUAUAGGAUCCUUAACCCUUAUAA